UUUAACAAAGAAGAAGCAAAGCCGCGAGGUAGAGCAAAUCUCAAAAAAACAAUCUCAGUUCAGACUGCAGGCUGCAACCCGCCUGCACGAAGUCGGAAUUGCUAGUAAUCGUAGGUCAGCAUACUACGGUGAAUACGGUUCCCGGGCCUUGUACACACCGCCCGUCAAACCAUGAGAGUUGGCAACACCCGAAGUCGGUAGUCUAACCGCAAGGAGGACGCCGCCGAAGGUGGGGUUGAUGAUUAGGGUUAAGUCGUAACAAGGUAGC
Molecule: ribosomal RNA, 268 nt
Filed under: uncultured bacterium
Lineage: Bacteria
Description: partial 16S ribosomal RNA
Rfam family: Bacterial small subunit ribosomal RNA
Source: RNAcentral